GACUCGCAGGAAUCAUCAUCAUCAGAGGAGGAAAACGAUCAAAAUGAGGAGGAGCAGAAAAAUGAAGAGAACAGUUCCAAAGAGCAAGAAAAUACAGCUCCAACCAACAAACGCCCUGCAGAGCCGUUAGAUCCACCACCUGCAAAGAAAUCCAAACUUGGAAAAAAGGCGAGAGCUGGCAAAGUGUAAAAAACUACUUAUCUUUUUUAGCAGACAUUGUUAAUAGUAAGAUUUGUUAAGGUUUAUUUGUUAGGUAGAUAGGUGCCAAAUAUUUUACACAUAUGAUAUGUAUCUGUAUAAAUAUUUACAAUUAAAUACUUUUAAAU
This is a long non-coding RNA of Saccostrea cuccullata (small rock oyster), 326 nucleotides long. RefSeq lists it as uncharacterized. The transcript has 2 exons. NCBI's taxonomy places the organism in Eukaryota, Metazoa, Mollusca, Bivalvia, Ostreida, Ostreidae. The record is from RefSeq and is a predicted model, not a curated record.